RNAcentral lists this transfer RNA (73 nucleotides) under Amanita muscaria (fly agaric). RNAcentral's name for it is "tRNA-Asp". It matches the Rfam family "tRNA". Rfam says of the family: Transfer RNA (tRNA) molecules are approximately 80 nucleotides in length. Their secondary structure includes four short double-helical elements and three loops (D, anti-codon, and T loops). The record is from RNAcentral. Lineage: Eukaryota; Fungi; Basidiomycota; Agaricomycetes; Agaricales; Amanitaceae.
CCCUCAUUAGUUUAAUAGGUAAAACUUUUAAUUGUCAAUUAAAGAGAUCCAAGUUCGAAUCUUGCCUGAGGUG